Molecule: ribosomal RNA, 253 nt
Filed under: uncultured bacterium
Lineage: Bacteria
Description: partial 16S ribosomal RNA
Rfam family: Bacterial small subunit ribosomal RNA
Source: RNAcentral
UACGUAGGGGGCUAGCGUUGUCCGGAUUUAUUGGGCGUAAAGAGCGUGUAGGCGGCCAGGUAGGUCUGCUGUGAAAACUCGAGGCUCAACCUCGAGACGUCGGCGGAAACCAUCUGGCUAGAGUCCGGAAGAGGAGAGUGGAAUUCCUGGUGUAGCGGUGAAAUGCGCAGAUAUUAGGAAGAACACCGGUGGCGAAGGCGGGUUGCUGGGCCGACACUGACGCUGAUGCGCGAAAGCCAGGGGAGCGAACGGG